Molecule: ribosomal RNA, 468 nt
Filed under: uncultured bacterium
Lineage: Bacteria
Description: partial 16S ribosomal RNA
Rfam family: Bacterial small subunit ribosomal RNA
Source: RNAcentral
GACGAACGCUGGCGGCGUGCUUAACACAUGCAAGUCGAACGGAAAGGCCCUGCUUUUGUGGGGUGCUCGAGAGGCGAACGGGUGAGUAACACGUGAGUAACCUGCCCUUGACUUAGGGAUAACUUCAGGAAACUGGGGCUAAUACCGGAUAGGAUCUCCUGCUGCAUGGGGGGGAUUGGAAAGCUUCGGCGGUUGGGGAUGGACUCGCGGCUUAUCAGCUUGUUGGUGGGGUAGUGGCUUACCAAGGCUUUGACGGGUAGCCGGCCUGAGAGGGUGACCGGCCACAUUGGGACUGAGAUACGGCCCAGACUCCUACGGGAGGCAGCAGUGGGGAAUAUUGCACAAUGGGCGGAAGCCUGAUGCAGCGACGCCGCGUGCGGGAUGACGGCCUUCGGGUUGUAAACCGCUUUCGCCUGUGACGAAGCGUGAGUGACGGUAAUGGGUAAAGAAGCACCGGCUAACUACGUG